ACCAACAUAAACCACUUAUUUUUCCGUUUUGGAAAGCAAAAAAUGAAAGAGAAAAUUGUAGAGAUCCUCUGAGUCCAAAUCUAUUAGAUGGAUACGGUGGUCCUCCAAUUGCAGACUUUGGGCUGAUGCAGACUUGUUAUUUACCUUUCCUAUAUCUCAGUAUUAUUUUCCCUUUUUGCUUUCCAUGUGCUUCAAGGGAUGAAGAAAAUUGGUUGCUGAAAAUGGUCAAGGAGUUCAUUAUGGGGAAAUGCCAGUGCAAGAUCUCCCUGUUCAGGAUUUAUAGGACUGGGGAAUGGUCAAAGGUUCCAUAAGGGUUGGGAGGAUGGUGAAACCGUCCACAAUGCUUUACCUUUCUACACAUUUUAGCUUUCAUUGCUUUGUAGCUGCUCCAGUAUGUGAAGUACAUCCUGACCUGGUACUGCUUAGAACAGGGAAAGGGUAUAAGUUGCACAGUCCAAGUGUGAGAUAUUUGGCUUCUUUGUCGAUUUAUAUGAUUCUUCCAACACAACAAAGUGCUGAGCUUUCCCUGAAUUAGCAGUUAAAUAUGCAAGAUAUCCCCCAAAGAAAAUCCGUUGGAAAAAGUGAACCAAGAUUGGCCGAUCGAGAUGCUGAUGGGGAGUAUAUGACUGCUUUACCUGAUCAACCCUCCACAUCCAAAAUGGUUUUAUAACUUUCCAGAAUGUUCAUGAAAAUGUUAUUGAUAAGAUGAAGAAUGAAAGGUUCGGGUGACCUGUUGAACCAGAUAUACUAGUAGUCUACUGAACAGAGCAGAUGUAUAAUAUCUUCUAUGGAAUAAAUAAUUAGCUCCUUCAUUGUUUUAUACAAAUUACCAAAUUAAAAUUUGCAGUUAUAUUGUUCUGAAAUAAUUACCAUGCAUAUGUUGACACUUCUUUGAUUGAGGCUUUCUCAAGUAAAGUAAACGUUUUCCAUAGAAUUGCUUCUGAUGACUUUCCUGUGGAAAUUAAGCAUCAUUUUCAUACAGACCAUGAGGUCUUACUAUAUCACAAUAGGUGUACAUGUCCAAUGCUUAACUUUUCUUAUGUUUUGAGAGCUUGCAGCCUAAAACUUGACCAUUAUAGACAUAAUUCACAUUACUUGCUCGCCUGGUGGGUUUCUAGCAGACACUAGAGAAGUGAGGCAUGCUCUAGACAUGUGCUGAUGGGAUUUCAUCUGCUGGCCUGGUUUCAGAAUCUGCUCUUCCACCUCUUUCACUUCUGCUGUUAUCCGCAAAUUUUAAGCUUGCUUGAUGUAGGCCUUUCUCCUUCUCCUCCGUACUCCAUUCUGACAAAUAGUACUCUUCCUCUGUAGCAACUGUUUUAGAUGAUGGACCACAAAACAUUCCACCCCAUUGUGGGAAAUAUACAAAACAAAUUGGAAAA
This is an RNA transcript of Populus trichocarpa (black cottonwood), 1379 nucleotides long. RefSeq lists it as uncharacterized. The record is from RefSeq and is a predicted model, not a curated record. Lineage: Eukaryota; Viridiplantae; Streptophyta; Magnoliopsida; Malpighiales; Salicaceae. The transcript has 3 exons.